AGUCGUAUGGUCUAAUGGUUAUGAUUUCUCGUUCACAGUAUUGUGUACCUUGUCCCGAGAAGGUUCCGUGUUCGAUCCACGGUACGACUA
RNAcentral lists this transfer RNA (90 nucleotides) under Nemania sp. NC0429. RNAcentral's name for it is "tRNA-Val". Lineage: Eukaryota; Fungi; Ascomycota; Sordariomycetes; Xylariales; Xylariaceae. The record is from RNAcentral.